GGGCCAUUAGCUCAAUGGCAGAGCAUCCCGCUUGCACCGGGAGGAUGGAGGUUCGAUCCCUCCAAGGUCCACCA
This 74-nucleotide transfer RNA is filed under the name Planctomycetota bacterium. Its description in RNAcentral is "tRNA-Ala". It matches the Rfam family "tRNA". Rfam says of the family: Transfer RNA (tRNA) molecules are approximately 80 nucleotides in length. Their secondary structure includes four short double-helical elements and three loops (D, anti-codon, and T loops). Further hydrogen bonds mediate the characteristic L-shaped molecular structure. tRNAs have two regions of fundamental functional importance: the anti-codon, which is responsible for specific mRNA codon recognition, and the 3' end, to which the tRNAs corresponding amino acid is attached (by aminoacyl-tRNA synthetases). tRNAs cope with the degeneracy of the genetic code in two manners: having more than one tRNA (with a specific anti-codon) for a particular amino acid; and 'wobble' base-pairing, i.e. permitting non-standard base-pairing at the 3rd anti-codon position. Lineage: Bacteria; Pseudomonadati; Planctomycetota. The record is from RNAcentral.